Long non-coding RNA from Triticum aestivum (bread wheat), 421 nucleotides. RefSeq lists it as uncharacterized. The transcript has 2 exons. The record is from RefSeq and is a predicted model, not a curated record. Lineage: Eukaryota; Viridiplantae; Streptophyta; Magnoliopsida; Poales; Poaceae.
GUUGCAGCAACAACUGAACGGAGAGCAAAGAAAGAAAAACCAGUAGCUAGCCUCGAGUUUGGAUCUCCUGAUGGCAAUCCUCAGAAGGAGCAGGAACGCCCUGUGCUUGGUGGCCCUAGUGAUCAUGGCUACCUGCACCGUUCUGUCAUCAGCUAAUGGACCGCCUGGUACAAUCAAUUGCAUGCCGCCGACUGGCAGCUGCGACCCGGCGCACUGCACUAAAUUUUGCGCGCCGAACUAUCAUGGUCAUUGCGCGGUGGGCGGCAUAGGGGCCCCAUCUUGUUGCUGCUACAAUCCGACGAGUGCGUCAGUUGGGGUGGCUCACCCUGCUGCACCCUCACAUGCAUGAAGGACGUUCGCAUGAAUCAACGAUCGAUGUAUGGCUCAAAAUCAUCGAAUGGAAUAAUAAUAAACUUCAUUA